This 465-nucleotide ribosomal RNA is filed under the name uncultured Klebsiella sp. RNAcentral describes it as "bacterial SSU rRNA". It matches the Rfam family "Bacterial small subunit ribosomal RNA", at positions 338 to 795 of the family's 1533-position model. The record is from RNAcentral. Lineage: Bacteria; Pseudomonadati; Pseudomonadota; Gammaproteobacteria; Enterobacterales; Enterobacteriaceae.
CCUACGGGAGGCUGCAGUGGGGAAUAUUGCACAAUGGGCGCAAGCCUGAUGCAGCCAUGCCGCGUGUGUGAAGAAGGCCUUCGGGUUGUAAAGCACUUUCAGCGGGGAGGAAGGCGUUAAGGUUAAUAACCUUGUCGAUUGACGUUACCCGCAGAAGAAGCACCGGCUAACUCCGUGCCAGCAGCCGCGGUAAUACGGAGGGUGCAAGCGUUAAUCGGAAUUACUGGGCGUAAAGCGCACGCAGGCGGUCUGUCAAGUCGGAUGUGAAAUCCCCGGGCUCAACCUGGGAACUGCAUUCGAAACUGGCAGGCUAGAGUCUUGUAGAGGGGGGUGGAAUUCCAGGUGUAGCGGUGAAAUGCGUAGAGAUCUGGAGGAAUACCGGUGGCGAAGGCGGCCCCCUGGACGGAGACUGACGCUCAGGUGCGACAGCGUGGGGAGCAAACAGGAUUCGAUACCCUUGUAGUC